Molecule: RNA transcript, 4036 nt
Organism: Hordeum vulgare subsp. vulgare (domesticated barley)
Lineage: Eukaryota; Viridiplantae; Streptophyta; Magnoliopsida; Poales; Poaceae
Gene name: U11/U12 small nuclear ribonucleoprotein 48 kDa protein
Exons: 6
Source: RefSeq, a predicted model, not a curated record
AGGUUUAUAAUUUUCGGUUCUCUUCCUCCGUCGACCGAACUAGAUUCCUCACUGGCUUCCCAUGGAGACGCCGCCUCCACCAUCCUCCCCGCCGUCCGUUCUCGCCCACCUGCGGUCCCUCCUCUCCGCCGCCUCUUCCGCCCUAUCCUCUCUCCCCUCCCCACUCCUCCCCUGCUCCACCACCACCACGGCGACGACCGCCACAUCCUCCACCCUCCCCACACCUGCGCCCACCACCCCGCUCCCAUCUCUCCCCUCUUCACCGGCUUCCGAAAUCCCCCUCCCCCUCCCGGCUGCGCCCGCCCCCUACUACGACUGCCCAGCCGUCUUCUGCACCACCAACCAACCGCCCGCCUCGUCCUCCCUCCCCGCCUUCCUCGCCGCCGAGUGUGCAGACUUCUCCUCCUCCACUACCGCCCCAACCCUCUCCUCUCCUCCCCGCAUCCUCCCGUCUGAGCUCUGCCUCCUGCGUCGGGAGGUGGACUCCUGGGGCAGCCAUCAUCCGCCCGGCGCAUACUCCUACGCUGCGGCCCGCGUGGUGGAGGCACUGCGGCUUGGUGCCCUGCAGUGGGAAGUCGAGCUGCGGCGCUGGUUGCUCGCGAGCUCACCGAGAUAUGGUAUCGUGAUUGAUGCGGCCAGUCGAGACUAUGUGUUUGUGCUGGUCAGGCUGUGUCUGAAGGCGGCGGCGGCGGAGGCAGGGUGCUCGCUGGAACGCCUGCCCAAGGAGGAGAGCGAGGGGUUUCGUCUUGAUCCGAGGGCUGUGCGGUUUGAGUGCCCCAGGCUGGUCGAUGGUGUCUCCUGGUUGGCGGGGCAGCUCGAGAUUUUGUAUGGGAAGAGCAAUGGCUGGUUCUUCGCGAUUACGGCGGUGAAGGAGGCAAUUCUUAGGUUGGGGUCUUGUUUGGCUGUCUGUGUUGGAGAUGGUGUUGCUGGAGGCGCUAGUGAAAAAGGAUGUGAGUUGAGAGAUAUUGGGACAUGCCCUAUUUUUGUUUCCCAGGUUGCUGCUGCCAUUGCAGCCUUGCAUGAGAGAUUGUCCCUGGAUAAGAAGAUUCGGGCUCUGCAAGCACCACGCCCAUCCAAAUAUCAGCUGUUACUUGAAUAUUCACAAAUCCUGAAACAAGGCUGUGAUGAGCGAUCAAAGCGACCGAACUACAGAGCUGUUCUGGAUUAUGAUGGAAUUCUACCACGCCAAAUGGAUAACCAGGAAUCUGGUAGGUCCAAGACAAGGGAGGAGCUGUUAGCUGAAGAACGGGAUUACAAGAGAAGACGAAUGUCUUACCGUGGCAAGAAAAUGAAGCGAAAUCCAACAGAGAUAUUAAGAGACAUAAUUGAUGAGCACAUGGCGGAAAUAAAACAGGCAGGUCUGGUUGAUUGCCUUGGGGAAGCUCCUGGUGACAUUGCACAAAAUAUACUUAAGACCAAUUCUCAUGGAGGCGCUGACCAAGGAAGCUCUUGUGAUAGGGCUGUUUUGGGUUCUCGAUUACCUAGUCGUGAGAACUCACCACAUACUGCAUCAAGGAGCCAUGACACAAGGGAUUCAUAUACGAACAUAAAAUAUGAAAAUAGUGGACACCAUCACCAAAAUCUGUCUGAGCAUGAGAAAGGAGGGAUCAAUGAAUCAGAAAGUGCAAUGAAUCGAGGCUAUUCUGAGCGGCAUGAUUACAUACAUAAAAGAAACACCAAUGAUCAAAGGAAAUAUGGUAAUAAGUAUAAAAAGAACAUCCCAGAAUAUCAUUCUGAAUCAAGUGAUCGUUCAGCAUGGUCCACACGAACACCAAAAUCCUCGGAGAGAGAAUACGGCGGCAUGCCAGGAGAUAAAAGCAAUGAUAGAACUAGAACUACUCAGAACCGACAUAGAUCAAUGCCUGGGAAUAAAGACCAGUUCAGUGAUAGAUAUGAUCCCCAGAGCAGAUAUUCUGAUGAGGAUCCUCCGACAAGCAUGUGUUGUGAUAUAUCUGAAGGAAAACAUGAAACAUACCAUGAUGCGACCCAUCCUCGUGAACAUCGUAUAAGAAAGCGUGAUCUGAAUUACUGAAAGGAACAUGGUACAUUUUCCGUUGAUCUCAGUAUACUAUGUAAUACAGGCAUCUGGGUUAAUACCUUCAGCUGUAUCCUUUUUUUGUAUCCUUAUGCAGAAAAUGCUUUACUAUUUCUGGUGCGAUUGUAAUGACAGUCUGUUGCGGUUCCUGAAUAUGGGAAGUUAUUAAUUAGUGCAUUCUCUUGCUUAUAAAUAACAUUCAUUUUGCAAAUCUAAUUUCCAUCUAACUUCAACUAAUAAAAAACGGAAUAUCAUGUAGGGUGCAUAUGUUUCCUGUUCACAAUCAAUCUUUUAAAACGGCUUCCUGUUAGUUUUGAAGCAUGCAUUCGUAAUAACUUCGCUAUGGAAUUUUAUCGUUUUUAGUUUGGGGACCCUUUUAGUUUUGAACUGGCAGGGAUUUCAGUUGUGAACCUUUGCCUGGAAAGGGCAUGACUGGAAUAAAUUUUCUUCACCUAUCUGCUUGCAUUGCAUCUACUGCAGAUGCUACUCAUGCAUAAUUAUUGGUUCAUGUUAUUUUUGGUGGGCCUAGUUUUCCUACAAUGAGUUCUGUAAGCGUAGGCCAAACUUAAGCACCACACCCCAGUAGUUGUGACCUGUAUUGUCCUAUUUUUUCUGGAUUGUGUGUCGCUCUACUGGUAGGUAGUGUUAAAAUGGUUUUUUAUACCUAUCAAGUACUUUCACAUAAGAAAGGGAUGUAGGUAGCACUGAAGUAGGGUUCAGCAUCUGCCAAGAUGUAGCCAGGUACAGCUUAUGCAUCAUGAUAGAGACGCUUGAGAUACAUUUUAAAAAUUCUUUUCGGUUAUGGAUGAUACUUAAUAUAUCAUGAAAAACAUCUUACAGUCCAAUGGAUUAUUAGGUGCCCUCCGAUGUCCAAGCUUGAUGAAGCAGCACUUACACAAUCAUUCCCAGUGGUGGAUGUGAGGAACACAUGUUUUGCCUUUGCUGUUUGUACUUCUUUAGCUUUGCAACAUGGAGGAGCACGCUCAAGUCUCUGACAGUGGCCUCAAUUAGGUUAACUCACGCACCUCAUGUUGGGCUGGGCUGUACCUGGAUGUGUCUAAAAUGUGUGCACUAAGUUCCCACGGGCAAUGAUAUUUGUUUUAAUUGUUUAUUCACCCCAUACUCAUGUAUCUGAUUGUUUGUGCUUGGUAUUAUGUAUUGGAUAUGGAUACAGCCAUCAAGAUCAUACUACCUUGAAAUUCAACCAACCUGAUGUUUAUCAUUUUUACCAGCUUCCACAACAAGUCCUCUUCACUGACAAGUACUAAAAUGGAAUCAUUCAAUCAAAGCUGUAACGUCCCUUGGAAAAGAUAGCAGGACUCUACCGUUUCCAUAAACAAACUUAAUACGUAUUAAAUUACUUUAUUUGUAUGUUUUUAUAGCAACUACUUGCUUACAUAAAAUCUCGAAUAUAUUUAAAUCUUUGUUCAGGAUGCUGUUCAUAUGUUUAUAUAUUAACUGAAAGUUCAUCUUUGUUGCCCUUUUGUUUGUGGUAUUUCUGCAGUGAGACACUGAAAAGCUGAGGAGAAGAAUUUGAUUGCACUUUGCAUGAACAUGUGAAUAAAACCUGAAAGCCACAUAGAAGUAUCUGAGCCGGAUGUUGAAGUUUGAUGAACCAUGUAGACAACAAUAAUUUUGAUAGGUAGAUCAUCUUCUUAGUUCUGUUUAGCUCAUGGCAUUCAUGGCGUUUUACCCCUUUGGCGUGCUCUGGCCAUUCUGUCCAUCCUGCUGGUAAGGUGUUUCCUAGAGCACAAAACCUUCCUUCGCCAAUCAAAGUUCAGCGCAUGGGUUGUUCGAGAAACCUUCCUAGAGCACAAAACCUUCCUUCGCCAGUACCACACCCUGCCUUCUCCUCUGGAACUGUUUUCUUCUUGCGGCUGGAGCUGGUACGAGCACCAGUUGUACUGAACCCCCCAGGAUUUGGUGAAAACCUUUGUGCACCCUCCUCAUGUUAAGUAGAUAGUAUUUUUUGCCAAAAAUUAAAGGAGGUGUGCAGCAAAA